Marmota monax (woodchuck) is the source of this 1232-nucleotide long non-coding RNA. RefSeq lists it as uncharacterized. The record is from RefSeq and is a predicted model, not a curated record. The transcript has 3 exons. NCBI's taxonomy places the organism in Eukaryota, Metazoa, Chordata, Mammalia, Rodentia, Sciuridae.
GGGCAUUGUGAGAGGGACAGAGAGAUUCUGGCUGUGAGGUGCCCAGCAUUUGGCUGGUGACUGCCACAGUCGACAACUCAGAAAGGUAUAAGUUUUUCCUGUCAGUCAACCCCUCAGGACACAUCAGCUGUGAAUCAUCACGCCUGGUGGGGGACAUCUUCCACAGGAACUGAGGGAAACGGUCCAUGGCUAUUGAUGGAAGAGAAACACCUUUGGCCUAACAGUAAACAGAUGGUGGGUAGCUGGGUAAGUUGCAUGCACACAAUCUGUGCGCUUCCUUUGUGUGUAGCAUGGUUCAUGUACAACGUUUACCUUAAAAACAAAACAAGAUAAAUAGCUCCUCACGUCUAAGGAAGGAGAUUGGAAGGCAGAUGUUUAUGUUCGGAUCCGUGGGGCGCCAGAGAACUCAACAAAUGAUGGGGCAAAUUCUCAUCUCUACUCCCACCUCAGCCUCUAGGAGUGACGGCGGCGCAAGCGAGAGCGCUCGCCAGGCUGCGGGGAAUCCAGCAGCCAGAAAAAGAUGAAAGAGCAGGCGAUCGAUAGCAGAGAAGGCGCGGGACUGAGAGGCAGGCAGGAUUUGGGCAAGGAGAGCAUCUUGAAAGCCCUGGUUGAAAGCACGGCCUGAGCCCGGGCGAGCUCCUCUGCCAGGAAGGAGUCAGCCCCCAGCGCGAGGCGGGGGCGAAAGAACUGCUCCCGCGGAGCUCCGCCUCCGCAUGAACGGGCCAGGGGACGCGGGGGACACCCGCUGGAACCCUCCUCGGGUGAGGCCUCUCCAGGGUGCAGCUCCACCCGCACGGUUUAAACAACGAAACGAAACUCUCCUGCCUUCCGAACAGGGGCCCGGACAUAUUGAGAAAAUCUCAACAGGUGUAACCACAGAUGUCAGUGUCCUGGUGAUAGAUGGAGCGCCACCUCACAGCCUGCAGGGCCGGGCAAGGCAAUGAAGACCCCUCACAGCACCAGAAGUCUGUCCUCAGAGGAAGGCUACUCAGGACCUAUGCUACCUAGAACCUCCCAACCUUCCUGCCCCGUGCACUUGAAGCUUUUUGGAUGCAAUUUGCAGAGAAUUGAAGACUCAGACAGUCUUCAGAAUGGUUUCACAUGGGGGAGUGGAGGAGCGGGCACUGAGACUCCAGACCCAGCCAUGUGCUUCCCAGAUUACCUCAAAGUUUGCCCCUCUGUUCUGUCUCCUCCUUACCUCUGCUCGACCCAGAAAAGCUGCUGAAAACUCA